This is a long non-coding RNA of Brassica oleracea var. oleracea, 1148 nucleotides long. RefSeq lists it as uncharacterized. The record is from RefSeq and is a predicted model, not a curated record. The transcript is spliced from 3 exons. NCBI's taxonomy places the organism in Eukaryota, Viridiplantae, Streptophyta, Magnoliopsida, Brassicales, Brassicaceae.
UUGUUUUCUUCCUUCUUGUUCUAGUUUUCUCAUGGAUCCCCUUCUUUCAUCUCAUAUAUUCAUAUCUUGGUGAUUGAUUUUACAGAAGUUAAAAGAACAAGCAUACAACAAUGUUUAAUUUUUUUUAAGAACCUUUAACUAAGAAACUAGCAUUGAAGCACAAAUUUUAGGUGUUUCUUAACAAAAGUUCUUAAAAUUAUAUUUAUUACUAAAAAAUUAUUAAGAACCCCAUUAAGGGUUUUAGGAAUAAUCAUGCUCUAAGACCCUGGUAUUUUAUCAGACGAAAGUUCCAGAAAACUCAAAACGUCGAUUGCUUCUCCGUAACGUCUCCUCCUUGCAUUGAUACGUUCUUUACUCCCAACUUCUGCGUGAUUAACCCACUUUUCCCACUCUGCAUCAUUCAAUUGACCUCAUCGAUGAAGCUUCGAGUACAAAUAUCCCAUCUUCCAGCGAUGAACAACACAACUUUGACUUAGCGGUUUUGACUUAACUCGGCAUGACGUCUCUCUCGCAGGUUAUGUAUCAGAGCCUUCUUUUUCAUCAGUUUAGAGUUGGAAGAUGAUUAUUUGUUUUUUUUUUGUUCUUGGUUUCAUAGAUGUUACUAGAUAAGCAAGCCAUGAAGACAAUUCUUCUAGAAAUUCCUUCCCUUGCCAGAUAGACGACUUCAACUGCUGCCAGCUACUGGGAAUUUGUGAGUGUGAAAUAAGCAGAGCUAAAGCACUUCUUAAGAUUCAGUGGCAGACACUUAUCAUGCAUUGUUUCCAGAAGGAACUCCCAUAGAGUUUCAACGCAUCUUGGAACUCAAAGGUCUUAAGAAAGCUGAUCAGCAGAUCAUACUUGAUGAUUUCAACAAGUAUGGCCCAGGGUUGACAUAGCCCUCUGUUUCAGGGGCAAUGCCACAAGUGGUUCAAAUUUACCUGCACUGCUGCUGGUAAUCACUAAUCCGGGUAUAGCAGAUGGGUUUAUAGCAAGCAAAGAUGUGUUAAUGAGGGAGCAGCUCUUGGCAGAGGAGCUGCAACCUCUGGCUUUAAUAAGUUCAUUGAACUUACCGAAGCAGCCAAAGACCUCAAAGAUGGAAGUUUAUCACAGUGAAUGCUUAACUCAUUCUCUCUCUCUCUCUCCUUUAAUAGGACAAACAAGCAUUCUUC